This 211-nucleotide long non-coding RNA is filed under the name Physcomitrium patens. RNAcentral describes it as "long non-coding RNA (PPAT_LNC014889)". The record is from RNAcentral. Lineage: Eukaryota; Viridiplantae; Streptophyta; Bryopsida; Funariales; Funariaceae.
AAUUAGUCAUAAUGACAAUCUUCCCACAUCUUUGCUCGUGGCAUUGAUGCCUCUACCGUAGUUGGUCGAGCCUCUUUUACAAACAUUUUUAAUUCUGGUAGAUGCAAACCAUUGAUUAAUAUCGACAAUAUAAACGCAUCUAGCAUUUUAUUAUUUACCCAUUUACGAAGUAUAUCUGUAAUCCGGCCAUAAUAGGACUCCACUGAUUCCC